UAGGGAAUCUUGGUCAAUGGGCGCAAGCCUGAACCAGCGAUGCCGCGUGUGCGAAGAAGGCCCUAGGGUUGUAAAGCACUUUCAGUCGCGAAGAAAAGCUUAAGGUUAAUAACCUUGAGUCUUGACGUUAACGACAGAAGAAGGUCCGGCUAACUCCGUGCCAGCAGCCGCGGUAAUACGGAGGGAUCGAACGUUAAUCGGAAUUACUGGGCGUAAAGCGCGCGUAGGCGGCUUGUUAAGUGGGAUGUGAAAGCCCCGGGCUUAACCUGGGAACUGCAUUCCAAACUGGCAAGCUAGAGUAUGGUAGAGGGAGGUAGAAUUUCCUGUGUAGCGGUGAAAUGCGUAGAUAUAGGAAGGAAUACCGAUGGCGAAGGCAGCCUCCUGGACCAAUACUGACGCUGAGGUGCGAAAGCGUGGGGAGCAAACAGGAUUAGAUACCCCCGUAGUCC
Molecule: ribosomal RNA, 449 nt
Filed under: uncultured prokaryote
Description: bacterial SSU rRNA
Rfam family: Bacterial small subunit ribosomal RNA
Source: RNAcentral